ACAGAACUGGGACUUUCUUCCCAUUUGGAUGACCUCAUUGCAGCCUCUGGAUGACCUCAUCACCAGAAUGACCGUGUGGUGCAGGCAAAGUAGAGGCUGAGGCUUUAAGGAAGAUAACAGACCUGUAACAUCGUUGGAGAGCACUGCUGCCAACUCUGAAGGAAGCAUAAGGGGACAAUUGAAGCUAAAUGGAGAAAACCAAGAAACUGCUAAAAGUGUGAUAAAACAAAGAGAAUUAAACAAUCCUGGAUGUUCUGGUUUACAAUAUAAUGAGGACAAUAAGAAAGAAAAUGCAAACAACAUGCCUUUAGGGGGCAGCAUGCGUCACACCGAAGAGAAAGACACAAUCUUUAAUAAUCAAGACAUUUAUCUUUAUAGCACUCAGUUGUAGUGCCAUUACUGUGUCUGACACAUCUACAAGCACGUUGUGUCAAAGCCUGCAAGAAUGUCAUUUACUAAAGCGUGUUUCCACUGUGGUCUGAUUGAUUUUAACCUUAUAAAUCAGAAUCAGUGUAAACCUCAAAGAUCACACCAAGACAGCAGAAUAAACAUCACUUCAAAGAUAUCAAGAAACAACUCAAAAGUGGACAAGUGGGGAUGUGAUUUGUUUCAUGGUUAAAAUGGAAACUAUCUGGAGAUUUUAUUAAAUUUUCUUUUUUGCUCUGUUUACACAUAAGUGUCGCCUUGAUCCUGCAAGCUUUUCUACUGCAGCUAAUGUAGCAACAUAAA
This is a long non-coding RNA of Melanotaenia boesemani (Boeseman's rainbowfish), 729 nucleotides long. RefSeq lists it as uncharacterized. The record is from RefSeq and is a predicted model, not a curated record. The transcript has 2 exons. Lineage: Eukaryota; Metazoa; Chordata; Actinopteri; Atheriniformes; Melanotaeniidae.